RNAcentral lists this unclassified non-coding RNA (253 nucleotides) under Hevea brasiliensis (rubber tree). The record is from RNAcentral. Lineage: Eukaryota; Viridiplantae; Streptophyta; Magnoliopsida; Malpighiales; Euphorbiaceae.
UAUAAAGAUGAUGAAUUCAGUGACCUGGGUUUUAAUCAGCACCAAACAAUUCAGCUAAAGAAAAGUGAGCAAUUAACUGAGGAAAGGGAGAGAGAGAUUAAACAGGUUGUGGCAUCAGUAAAUGAGCUUGCUCAAAUCAUGAAGGACCUGAGCUACAAAUUUAUAGUGUCAUGCAGGUAGGUUUUUUGAGUUACAGCAACAGGUACUAAUGAAACUUAAUUCUCUCAAGCAGGGUACAAUUGUUGAUCGGAUA